This 253-nucleotide ribosomal RNA is filed under the name uncultured bacterium. RNAcentral's name for it is "partial 16S ribosomal RNA". It matches the Rfam family "Bacterial small subunit ribosomal RNA", at positions 524 to 776 of the family's 1533-position model. The record is from RNAcentral.
GACGUAGGGUGCAAGCGUUGUCCGGAUUUACUGGGCGUAAAGAGCGCGUAGGCGGUCUGUUAAGUGAGAAGUGAAAGCUCUGGGCUCAACCCAAAAAUUGCUUUUCAUACUGGCAGACUGGAGUGAUGCAGAGGUUUGUGGAAUUCCUGGUGUAGCGGUGAAAUGCGUUGAUAUCAGGAGGAACACCGAUGGCGAAGGCAGCAAACUGGGCAUUAACUGACGCUGAGGCGCGAAAGCGUGGGGAGCGAACAGG